RNAcentral lists this ribosomal RNA (497 nucleotides) under uncultured bacterium. RNAcentral describes it as "partial 16S ribosomal RNA". It matches the Rfam family "Bacterial small subunit ribosomal RNA", at positions 28 to 507 of the family's 1533-position model. The record is from RNAcentral.
GAUGAACGUUGGCGGCGUGCCUAAUACAUGCAAGUCGAGCGAACGGACGAGAAGCUUGCUUCUCUGAUGUUAGCGGCGGACGGGUGAGUAACACGUGGAUAACCUACCUAUAAGACUGGGAUAACUUCGGGAAACCGGAGCUAAUACCGGAUAAUAUUUUGAACCGCAUGGUUCAAAAGUGAAAGACGGUCCUGCUGUCACUUAUAGAUGGAUCCGCGCUGCAUUAGCUAGUUGGUAAGGUAACGGCUUACCAAGGCAACGAUGCAUAGCCGACCUGAGAGGGUGAUCGGCCACACUGGAACUGAGACACGGUCCAGACUCCUACGGGAGGCAGCAGUAGGGAAUCUUCCGCAAUGGGCGAAAGCCUGACGGAGCAACGCCGCGUGAGUGAUGAAGGUCUUCGGAUCGUAAAACUCUGUUAUUAGGGAAGAACAUAUGUGUAAGUAACUGUGCACAUCUUGACGGUACCUAAUCAGAAAGCCACGGCUAACUACGUG